AUUAACGCUGGCGGUGUGCAUAACACAUGCAAGUCAAACGGAUGUAGCAAUACAUUAGUGGCAAACGGGUGCGUAACACGUUGGAACCUCCCUCGAAGUGUGGGAUAACCAGUCGAAAGAUUGGCUAAUACCACAUAGUCCCGCAAGGGUAAAGCUUAAUGCGCUUCGAGAAGGGCCUGCGGCCUAUCAGCUUGUUGGCGGUGUAAAAGACCACCAAGGCUAUGACGGGUAGCUGGAUUGAGAGAUCGACCAGCCACAGGGGAACUGAGACACGGUCCCCACUCCUACGGGAGGCAGCAGUGAGGAAUCUUCCGCAAUGGGCGAAAGCCUGACGGAGCAACACCGCGUGAAGGAUGAAGUCCUUUGGGAUGUAAACUUCUUUUCUGGGGGAAGAAUUCUGACGGUACCCCAGGAAUAAGUGACGGCAAACUCUGU
RNAcentral lists this ribosomal RNA (435 nucleotides) under uncultured bacterium. RNAcentral's name for it is "bacterial SSU rRNA". It matches the Rfam family "Bacterial small subunit ribosomal RNA", at positions 29 to 506 of the family's 1533-position model. The record is from RNAcentral.